Molecule: non-coding RNA, 115 nt
Organism: Podospora australis
Lineage: Eukaryota; Fungi; Ascomycota; Sordariomycetes; Sordariales; Podosporaceae
Source: the annotation of a GenBank genome assembly
GUCACUUUGGCCGAGUGGUUAAGGCGCGCCCCUGCUAAACGUCAGUGUCUCAUACCGAGUUCAGCAUAACUAGGGCGUUUCUUCGGAAGCGUAGGUUCGAAUCCUGCAGGUGACG